Molecule: long non-coding RNA, 4814 nt
Filed under: Eucalyptus grandis
Lineage: Eukaryota; Viridiplantae; Streptophyta; Magnoliopsida; Myrtales; Myrtaceae
Description: long non-coding RNA (EGRA_LNC005535)
Source: RNAcentral
UUCUACCUGCAACUUGUAAGGAUGUACCUCUAAGAUCAGCUUCUGUAUCAUGCUUCAAAAUGCAGGUUCCUCCAGAAGAACCAAAGUACCUUCUUCCUUUCUGCAUAUGAAGCGUCCAAAGCUUCGGAAGGAAAAGGGAAGAGGAAAGAUGAGGGAGCCUAGCCUAGCCGGAGCGUCCACUGCUCCGUUUCCGACAACUUCCAAUUCAUUAGGGGACGCUGUCGGCUAACGAUUCUGAUGUUGUGGAAUUCUCUGCCCAUUAAAAGCCGGAAGAAUUCCUUUUGGUGUGUUGUUGUAACAUUAGCAUUGACUAGUUCAUUCUUUCUUUAUGAUCCGUUUCCCCUCGUAGUGAAGGGGGUGAUAGUUGGUAAAUUACCUUUAUACGGUUCGAUUCGGCGCGGUUCUUACGCUGACGAUUGUUUCUCAGACAAGACCAACUGUCGGGUAUUUCAAUUCAUCCAGACUCACUAUUGUACUCGACAAGAACCUCAAGACCUAGAGGGUCGAUAGGAAACACAUUUUAUCUCAAUAAGUCCUACUUUCUGAAUGAUGUUUCUUGUGUAUUACUUUGUUCCCUCGACCCUUAUUUUCCCUUCGCAUCACUUUACAUCUUCAAAUUGGUGUAAAUGAGUAUAUACUACAAGCUGCUGGUAAAUUCAUAUUCAGUACAUCGGUGAAUGCACUUAUUUUGUGCAAUAAUUGGAAAAAGAAUUAGGGGUUAACAUGAUUAAAGGCAUGCAAAACGGAUCGCCCGAAUCGGAAACCGUCGAGAUUAGUUUAGUUUCUGGAGUGUUAGUCCAAUUCCUGGUUCUAAAGGGAACCGGAUUGGACCAAUUGAAGAUACUUUUUAUUUUUUUUAUUUCUAUAAAAGAUUUAGUAAAAUGUGAACAAAAUAUUAUCUCGGUUUAAUUCUAAGUAGUGAGAAAAAAAAGUAAUGGGAAAAAAGUAGUGAGUAACAAUAAGUAACCAUUUCAUUUGACCAAACCAAAACCAAAUUAGAUCAACCGGUUCAAUCCUAGUUCUCAAUUUUGGAAAUUAGAACAGAAACAUAUCACCCAUAAAUAUGACAAAUAAUCUUAAACUAAUAUUUUUUGACAAAUUUACCCUCAUAAAAAAAUUUAAAUUAAUAUACAUGUGAUGAAUUUAUCAUAUAUUAGUUUUCAUUAACUUUUAUCAUCAAAUUACGACACCCUCCAUUUAGGGUUUACCCUCCGUUUAAUUUGAAAAUUUUUAUGAAAGUAAAUUUAUUAUAAAUCUAUCAAUUUUGGAUUUUUUGUGGUAUUAACAAAAAAAACAAAGAAAAAUGGGUCACGGCACUCUCAAACUCUCCUAAAUCAAAACAAUAAAAAAAGAAAAAAAAUUCCCAAAUGGGCCUAACAAAAAAAAAAGGGCCUAACGACACGUGUCAUCUUCCAAGCACACAACGCCCCCAAGACAAUUUAGAUUAGCAUCGAUUCCCCAAUAAUGUCAACGACCGCCUCCUCCUCGCCGUCGUCCCCCGCCCUCGCGCUCCUCCGCCCCAGCCCAAGAGCUUCCUCCCCCGCCCGAUCUCCAUCCUCCGUCGCCGUCGCCCCCCGCUCCUCCAUGGAAACCCCUCCUUCCGCCGAGGCGCGUCGUCGUCUGCGGCGGCGGCGUCAUCGGCGUCUGCACCGCCUACUUCCUCUCCAAGUCCGCCGGCGCCGGCGCCUCCGUCUCCAUCGUCGAGCAGUCCUCCGUCGCCUGCGCCGCCUCCGGGAAGGCCGGCGGCUUCCUCGCCCUCGACUGGUGCGACGGCGGGCCCCUCGGCCCCCUCGCCCGCGCCAGCUUCGACCUCCACCGCGCCCUCGCCGCGGAGCUUGACGGGCCCCGGGCCUACGGCUACCGCGCCCUCACCACCCUCAGCCUCACCGUGAAGGAAUCGGAGUCGGGCUCCGGGUCGGGCCAGCGGCCCAAGCGUGGGGCCCCGCACGACGCCGUCCUGCCCGACUGGGUCGACGGGCCGGGCCGGGCCGCUAGGGCGAUCGGGUCGACGGACACCACGGCCCAGGUCCAUCCCCAGCUCUUCACUUGGGCCCUGCUGGACAAGGCCGUGAGGGAUUACGGGCUCGAGGUGGUGAUCGGGAAGGUGGUCUGGGGGUGGCGGCGGCGGCGGGAGGGUGUCGGCGGUGGUGCUGGAGGGAGGGAGGGUCAUGGAGGCGGACGCGGUGGUGCUGGCGCUCGGGCCGUGGUCCGGCAAGUUCGGGCUCCUGUUAACGCUGUUCAGGGUGUAUGGGCUCAAGGCCCACAGCAUCGUCUUGGAGCCGAGAGAGCCCGGUGCAAUAGGCCCGGAAGCUCUGUUCCUGAGCUUCCUGCCCGCCACCGGCGGCCCGGCCAUGGACCUGGAAGUCUACCCUCGCCCUACUGGUAUGUAACCAUGUUUGUAAUCUUUUUUGUUUUUUUUUCCCUUUUAAUUAUUGUAUGUAUGUAUUAUUAUUUAAUUAAUUGUUAAUUAUGAUCAUUAAAACAUUGGUUUUUAGGAUGAAUUAUUUGAAUGGCUGUCAUAUGUACUGUCACAUGUCUAGGAAGCAAUUAUUAGUUUUUGCUAGCUUUGGCUUGCCUACCUGCCUACUGUCUAGCAAUAGAAGAUGGGGCUAUUUCUUUUGUAGUUUCCAUCCAAUGAAGUUUCUAAAUUUAGCAAUGCCUAGUUCUAUUCAAUUACAUGUUUAGCUGAAUUAUAAUGUGGCCAAAGUACAAGCAUUGAUUCACUGAAAUGGAAGGUCUCUCUCUCUUUCUGUGUAGCUUGAAAUUGAGCUACCAAAGUAGCCUUCAUCUUCCAAUUGAUGUAUCGAUUGUGGGGUUGGUUGAUUUUCUUUUAUUCCCUGGAAAAAAUAUCGGGUCAAGUCGACCUGCUCCAUGUGCAUUUGAGAUUUUUUUUUUUUUUUGAAUGAUUUUGGUUAUGAUUGAACAUAUUUAGGGGAAGUCUAUUUGUGUGGGAUGUCGUCCCGGGAGGAGGUGCCAGAUGACCCUGAAGAGGUCGUGCCCAACCCGGAAUCCAUAAAGGUGCUCAAGCGGGUGGCUCGGGCCGUCUCGAGUCACCUAGCGGAGGGCAAGGCGGGCGUGAAGGCCGAGCAAGCCUGCUUCUUGCCAUGCACCGAGGAUGAGGUCCCUGUGAUCGGGGAGCUACCGGGCUUGGAAGGUUGCUAUGUGGCGACAGGCCACAGUUGCUGGGGCAUCCUCAACGGGCCCGCUACUGGGGCUGCGGUGGCGGAGCUUGUGCUCGAAGGGCGGGCUCAGACCGUGGACCUGACUCGGUUCAGCCCUGCACGAUUUGUACUCUCUAGGAAGAGAUGAAAUGUGGCAUUCAGAAAUAUAAAUUGUGUUUGUUUUCUAUCAAGUCGAGGAUUUUCUCCUUUUUUUUUAACGUGAUUUUCUAAAUGAAGGUUUUAAUACAAGCAUGUGGUCACGUGUCUGUGGUUGUGGCAAUGCCCUUUUACUCGCAGGUCAGUUACGGAGGUGGAGGUGAUUUUAAGAUGAUGCAUGCUGUACUGAUAAUGAAGGGUUGUAGUUUUUGGGACCUAUAACAUGCCUCUCUACUUAAAUCAAUUUCCACACCACAGGUUUUAGUCAAUACCCACUUCUUGUUAGGAGUAAGUGUUGAAGAUCUAUUUUUUGGCUACUCAGGAGCUUUUGAAGUUUAGAGAGAGGGAGAGAGAGAGAGACUAUGCUUUUCUAUGCAAGUUCAAGAUUUUAGGUAUGUUGUUGGCACUUUUACGUGAUCUAGUUGCGAUAGCUUAGGGCUUUAGAGCUUCAACUACUACCACCAUAGCCUGCGCUUUCUUGAAGUAUUUCUAGCUACAAAUGUGUUUUUUUGGGGGGCUAACUUCACAAGUGAGUGCGAGACUGCUAACUGGUACUUUUGAAUGAGAGGUUGCUGAUUAGCUUUCCCUUGGUCUUUGUUGUCUGGUAUUGUCCUACAAGCGGCUGUGGUCAAAUGUUGUUUAAACUUUGGUAGAGAACAUCUCUUGGCUAUUGACUUUUGCAAGUAUAAUUCAAUUUUCCAUUACAGAAAAGUAAUCAGGUUGUCUAGUUUUACCCUAAUAUGCUGCAAUCUCUGCCUUCCAGUAAAGCUGCCCGAGUUGCUGGCUCGUGUGAACAUUGAAGAGGACACCUUGACGCGGUUGCAGCAGAAACUGCUCGACUUUCUCAAGUACUGAUUCAUACCUGUCUUUUCAACGGUGAUCUCCACAUCUUUUUGAAUGCUUCAUCAAUUUGAUAUUUACUCAAGAUCCAUUAUUUUAACUCAGCUAUUCUACUUGCAACUUGUAAGGAUGUACCUCUAAGAUCAGCUUCUGUAUCAUGCUUCAAAAUGCAGAUUCCUCCAGAAGAACCAAAGUACCUUCUUCCUUUCUGCAUAUGAAGCGUCCAAAGCUUCGGAAGGAAAAGGGAAGAGGGAAGAUGAGGGAGCCUAGCCUAGCCGGAGCGUCCACUGCUCCGUUUCCGGCAAUUUCCAAUUCAUUAGGGGACGCUGUCGGCUAACGAUUCUGAUGUCGUGGAAUUCUCUGCCCAUUAAAAGCCGGAAGAAUUCCUUUUGCUGUGUUGUUGUAACAUUAGCAUUGACUAGUUCAUUCUUUCUUUAUGAUCCGUUUCCCCUCGUAGUGAAGGGGGUGAUAGUUGGUAAAUUACCUUUAUACGGUUCGAUUCGGCGCGGUUCUUACGCUGACGAUUGUUUCUCAGACAAGACCAACUGUCGGGUAUUUCGAUUCAUCCAGACUCACUAUUGUACUCGACAAGAACCUCAAGACCUAGAGGGUCGAUAGCAAACACAUUUUAUCUCAAUAAGUCCUACUUUCUGAACG